AAAUUGAAGAGUUUGAUCAUGGCUCAGAUUGAACGCUGGCGGUAGGCCUAACACAUGCAAGUCGAACGGUAACAGGAAGCAGCUUGCUGCUUCGCUGACGAGUGGCGGACGGGUGAGUAAUGUCUGGGAAACUGCCUGAUGGAGGGGGAUAACUACUGGAAACGGUAGCUAAUACCGCAUAAUGUCGCAAGACCAAAGAGGGGGACCUUCGGGCCUCUUGCCAUCGGAUGUGCCCAGAUGGGAUUAGCUUGUUGGUGGGGUAACGGCUCACC
RNAcentral lists this ribosomal RNA (272 nucleotides) under Escherichia coli. RNAcentral's name for it is "partial 16S ribosomal RNA". It matches the Rfam family "Bacterial small subunit ribosomal RNA", at positions 1 to 269 of the family's 1533-position model. Lineage: Bacteria; Pseudomonadati; Pseudomonadota; Gammaproteobacteria; Enterobacterales; Enterobacteriaceae. The record is from RNAcentral.